GGACGGGUGGUCGAGUGGUUGAAGGCACCGCACUCGAAAUGCGGCGUACCCGCAAGGGUACCGUGAGUUCGAAUCUCACCCCGUCCG
RNAcentral lists this transfer RNA (87 nucleotides) under Skermanella stibiiresistens SB22. It matches the Rfam family "tRNA". From Rfam's summary of the family: Transfer RNA (tRNA) molecules are approximately 80 nucleotides in length. Their secondary structure includes four short double-helical elements and three loops (D, anti-codon, and T loops). The record is from Rfam by way of RNAcentral. Lineage: Bacteria; Pseudomonadati; Pseudomonadota; Alphaproteobacteria; Rhodospirillales; Azospirillaceae.